UCUGCAGAGUUUAGCUCCAACCAGCUCCAAAUCACACCUGCUUGGAUGUUUGUAGUAAUCCUGAAGACCUUGAUUAGCUUGAUCAGGUGUGUUUGAUUAGUGUUGGAGCUAAAAUGUGCAGAGCCAACGCUAUCUCACGACCAAUUCGUACAUAUUUUACGAGGUGGCUAAUUUGUGCGAAUUCAUACAACCUCACUCAAACGAUUUUGUCCGAUUUGUCUAGAUCCCAGUGACGGGUAGGUUUAGGGGCGGGGUUAGGUGUAGGUCAUUCGUACAAAUUUAUAUGAAUUGCGCAACUCAUAAAAUACGUACGAUUUAGGAAAAAUCUUAAGAAUUCGUACAAAUUAGCCACCUCGUAAAAUAUGCAUGAAUUGCCGUGAGAUCGGGCUGGCAGAGCUGUGUCCCUCCAGGAAUUGAGUUUGAGACCAAUGUUUUAUGGGUUUGGAACGACAUGAUGGAAGUUCCAUUGCCACGAUAACCAUUCGGGCAUGGUCCACAUUCCCAGGUUCCAUCAGAAGCUGUGAUACACUCAACUCCAGAGAAGCAAGGGUUUGAAAGACAGCCAUCUGUCAAAUCAACACAGCACCGUUUUUAGACACUCCUGACGGUUGCAUACUUCAUUUUCAAUGGAGUCUCCAAGACACUUCCUUCCUCCAUGCUGUGGUUCAGGGCUGUUACAUUCCCUAACACGACUCUUCAGACCCCCUCCACAUGUAGCCGAA
Molecule: long non-coding RNA, 722 nt
Organism: Onychostoma macrolepis
Lineage: Eukaryota; Metazoa; Chordata; Actinopteri; Cypriniformes; Cyprinidae
Exons: 3
Source: RefSeq, a predicted model, not a curated record